This 526-nucleotide ribosomal RNA is filed under the name Pseudandrosus caerulus. Its description in RNAcentral is "partial 16S ribosomal RNA". It matches the Rfam family "Bacterial large subunit ribosomal RNA", at positions 1808 to 2606 of the family's 2925-position model. Lineage: Eukaryota; Metazoa; Arthropoda; Insecta; Coleoptera; Tenebrionidae. The record is from RNAcentral.
CAAAAACAUGUCUUUUUGAUUAUUAUUUAAGGUCGGGCCUGCCCAAUGAUUAUUUAAAUGGCCGCAGUAUUUUGACUGUGCAAAGGUAGCAUAAUCAUUAGUUUCUUAAUUGGGAGCUGGAAUGAAUGGUUUGAUGAAAAAUGAGCUGUCUCUAUUUGAAUUUGAUAGAAUUUUAUUUUUUAGUGAAAAAGCUUAAAUUUUGUAUAAAGACGAGAAGACCCUAUAGAGUUUUAUAUUAAGGAUGAUAAAUUUUUUUAGGGUUAUUUGGUUUAAUUUAUUGUUUUUGUAUUUUGUUGGGGUGACAUUAAAAUUGAAUGAACUUUUAAUUAUUUAAACAUUAGUUAGUGAAUUUUUGAUCCUUUUUUGAAGAUUAUAAGAUUAAAUUACCUUAGGGAUAACAGCGUAAUUUUUUCUGAAAGUUCUUAUUGAUGAAGAAGAUUGCGACCUCGAUGUUGGAUUAAAAUUUACUUUUGGUGUAGCAGCUAAAUAGUUAGGUCUGUUCGACCUUUAAAAUUUUACAUGAUCU